AAGUAUAAUUAUUUUUUUUAAAUCUUAGUAUGGUAUUUUCGAUAGCAUUAUUUUGAAAUUUUAUUUCAAACACUUCUUUUUUAAUUGAAAAACAAAAAAUAAGAAUAAACACAAACAGAUAAAAUUUUGUUGACUUUUCUCAGUCAACUUAUAAUUUUAUAUAAUUUCACGACAAAAUAUUGUAUAUUUUAUUUUUGUUAUAUUCUUUUGCCGAACGGUUGCGUUAUUUUGACUCGAUAUUCAAAAAUCAACUGAAACACUUUGAUUCGAAUUCCGGUUGUAUUAUGUGAAUUUUUACCGCGAUAUCAUCCCGAAGGCUUUAAUAAAAACCACCACAAAGAACGGGGAACGAGCCAACAACUGAUAAAACAAAUUUUCAAACUACAUACGGAGAGCUGAAAUCAAAAGUCUUGUGUUUUUUCGAGAUAGAAGAUACAUUUUGACUUGGCUAAAACACAGAAAAAUUCAAGUGACACUUUCCAAACUUGUUAUUUUGUUAUUGUCAUUUCUCAAAUUGAAUAUCGAAAAAAAUCAACAUCAAAGAAAAUAUAAAACGCGAACUGCAGGAAAACUGAUCGCAGUCAGAGAAGCGAUUACAUUAACAUUGUAGACAAUAAGGGAAAUGAUGUUGCGAUGAUAAUAAAAAAAAGGAUCUUGGUUCGAUAGGAGGGUCGCUGGCUAAAACAGAUGCUGAUAUAACCUAGAGAUUGCCAGAAACGUGUUAUUCUCUUUUACUUCAUAGUUAUCCAAUAUUAAGUAAAAAUAUAAUGAAUGUGACUGUUUCUAUAUCCAAACGAUAUCUUUUGUAGAAAUCCUUGUCGUUUAAUAUAAAUGAAUU
Eupeodes corollae is the source of this 838-nucleotide long non-coding RNA. RefSeq lists it as uncharacterized. Lineage: Eukaryota; Metazoa; Arthropoda; Insecta; Diptera; Syrphidae. The transcript has 3 exons. The record is from RefSeq and is a predicted model, not a curated record.